CGGUGAUGGUGUGAGGCCGGUCGCAGCUGCUGACCAAGCAGCGUCACGACUUGCCGCUCAUGCAGUGGCAGCCGCUGGAUGGUGCGCCAGUGUCCCGAGGGGGUCGCUGGCUGCCUCCAGCGGCGCGGGUAGACUGCCGAUGGCGGAGGCGGAGGAGCUGCUUGCCGUUCUUGUUGCACGCCAUCCUGCUUGGUCUUCUUCUGGGAGCUGGACCCGCUGUAGCCCAAUCUGAUUCGCCUCCUCCUCCAUCUCCUGAUCCGCCAUCACCUCCUCCUCCAUCUCCUGAUCCGCCAUCACCUCCUCCUCCAUCUCCUAAUCCGCCAUCACCUCUUCCUCCAUCUCCUGAUCCGCCAUCACCUAGUCCACCAUCACCCGUACCUCCCAGCCCGCCA
Molecule: long non-coding RNA, 392 nt
Filed under: Volvox carteri
Lineage: Eukaryota; Viridiplantae; Chlorophyta; Chlorophyceae; Chlamydomonadales; Volvocaceae
Description: long non-coding RNA (VCAR_LNC000277)
Source: RNAcentral